Cryptomeria japonica (Japanese cedar) is the source of this 1551-nucleotide RNA transcript. RefSeq lists it as uncharacterized. NCBI's taxonomy places the organism in Eukaryota, Viridiplantae, Streptophyta, Pinopsida, Cupressales, Cupressaceae. The record is from RefSeq and is a predicted model, not a curated record. The transcript is spliced from 7 exons.
GACUGUAAGAGGGCCCCAACAAUUUCAUAUCCCUUGAUGACUGUAAGAGGGCCCCACCAGUAUUGAAGGAUGUCAACGCUUCUUAUUUACAGGUUGGGCUCUGGCUGCAAGGUUUUGGGAAGUACUGGAAGUGGAAAUUAUGAAGGUGUUAGUGACAGGCGCCUCGGGAUACUUAGGCGGACAUAUUUGCCAUGCAGUUGCAAAGGAAGGGUAUGCAGUGAGAGCGUUGGUAAGGCGAAGCAGCGUAUUAGACAAUCUACAUCAAGAGGAAGUGGAAAUUGUUUAUGGAGAUGUAACAAACCUGCCUUCUCUGUUGGAGGCCUGCAAUGGCUGUGACAUCCUAAUCCACGCAGCAGCCCUUGUAUACCCUUGGCUUCCUGAUCCGUCCAAUUUUAUAACUGUCAAUGUGGGCGGUUUGAAAAAUGUUAUAGAAGCUGUGAAGCAGACAUCUUCUAUACAAAAAUUGAUAUACACUUCAUCCUUCUUUGCUCUUGGACCAACGGAUGGCUACAUUGCAGAUGAAAGGCAGAUACAUGCAGGAAAAUCUUACUGCACAGAAUAUGAGAAGUCUAAGGUUGUGGCAGAUGAAAUUGCACGUCAAGCUGCAGAUGAGGGUUUGCCUGUGGUUCUUCUUUAUCCUGGUGUCAUAUAUGGACCUGGAAAAAUGACUUCUGGGAACAUAGUUGCUAGCUUGAUGCUGGAAAGAUUUAAUGGACGGCUACCUGGAUAUAUUGGUUAUGGCAAUGAUAAGAAUUCCUUUUCUCAUGUCGAGGAUGUUGCAUAUGGUCAUGUGGCAGCAAUACAGAAAGGCAGAGUAGGUCAAAGGUACCUUCUCACCGGUGAAAAUGCAUCCUUUACUGAUGUUUUCAAUCUUGCUGCCAAUUUAACAGGGACUGCACUGCCAUCGUUUCAUAUACCUUUAUGGGUUCUAGAAACUUAUGGCUGGAUAUCUGUCUUUUGGGCUCGAAUCUCUGGAAACCUACCUCUUAUCAGCUAUCCUACAGUUUAUGUUUUGAAACAUCAAUGGGCUUAUUCAUGUGAGAAAGCAAAGACAGAAUUGGGUUAUCAGCCUCGAAGUCUAAGGGAGGGUCUAGCAGAGGUGUUGUCAUGGCUGAAAAAUUUAGGCUUGAUAAAAUAUUGACUUUUUCCAAUUUAUCCUACGACUGAUUAAAGUUUUCUGCCAACAACACAGGUAGAUUGAUAUUUCAGUUCCGCAUCAUGCAAACUCCCUCAACUUCUGAAAUGGAUGGUAAAUGCAUUGUUUUGUGUACUCUAUUUUGAUUGUGAACGUUGCAUCCAUCAACUACUAAGCAUUGUGGCGCCAAGAUGCCACUUUUUGAGGGUACAUGAGACGUUGAAACUUACUAGUGACAUAGUGUCAAGUGGACCUAUGUUUGUAUUACAUUGAUAUACAAUAUAAUUUAUUUGUUGUGUACAUAUUCCUACUUCGAAACUUAAAAACUGUAUGUAUAAUCACUUUAGAAUGGUUGAGAUGAACAAUAACAUGUUAUAGAUUGAUUCCUUAUAAGAUUUUUUUUAGUAGAAAGAUCA